RNAcentral lists this ribosomal RNA (229 nucleotides) under uncultured bacterium. RNAcentral's name for it is "partial 16S ribosomal RNA". It matches the Rfam family "Bacterial small subunit ribosomal RNA", at positions 568 to 796 of the family's 1533-position model. The record is from RNAcentral.
UCCGUAGGCGGGCAAUUAAGUCAGAGGUGAAAUCCCACAGCUCAACUGUGGAACUGCCUUUGAUACUGGUUGUCUUGAGUUACAGUGAAGUAGAUAGAAUAUGUAGUGUAGCGGUGAAAUGCAUAGAUAUUACAUAGAAUACCGAUUGCGAAGGCAGUCUACUAACUGCAUACUGACGCUAAUGGACGAAAGCGUGGGGAGCAAACAGGAUUAGAUACCCUGGUAGUCC